Molecule: transfer RNA, 73 nt
Filed under: Planctomycetota bacterium
Lineage: Bacteria; Pseudomonadati; Planctomycetota
Also listed under: 1 other name
Description: tRNA-Arg
Rfam family: tRNA
About the family: Transfer RNA (tRNA) molecules are approximately 80 nucleotides in length. Their secondary structure includes four short double-helical elements and three loops (D, anti-codon, and T loops). Further hydrogen bonds mediate the characteristic L-shaped molecular structure. tRNAs have two regions of fundamental functional importance: the anti-codon, which is responsible for specific mRNA codon recognition, and the 3' end, to which the tRNAs corresponding amino acid is attached (by aminoacyl-tRNA synthetases). tRNAs cope with the degeneracy of the genetic code in two manners: having more than one tRNA (with a specific anti-codon) for a particular amino acid; and 'wobble' base-pairing, i.e. permitting non-standard base-pairing at the 3rd anti-codon position.
Source: RNAcentral
GUCCCGGUAGCUCAGCGGAUAGAGCAGCGGUCUUCUAAAUCGCAGGUCGCAGGUUCGAUUCCUGCCCGGGACG